UCGGGCCACCCUCCUUGUUUCGACUUCCCCCAGUCAUGAAUCCAAAGUGGUAAGCGCCCUCCCGAAGGUUAAGCUACCUACUUCUUUUGCAACCCACUCCCAUGGUGUGACGGGCGGUGUGUACAAGGCCCGGGAACGUAUUCACCGUAGCAUUCUGAUCUACGAUUACUAGCGAUUCCGACUUCAUGGAGUCGAGUUGCAGACUCCAAUCCGGACUACGACAUACUUUAUGAGGUCCGCUUGCUCUCGCGAGGUCGCUUCUCUUUGUAUAUGCCAUUGUAGCACGUGUGUAGCCCUGGUCGUAAGGGCCAUGAUGACUUGACGUCAUCCCCACCUUCCUCCAGUUUAUCACUGGCAGUCUCCUUUGAGUUCCCGGCCUAACCGCUGGCAACAAAGGAUAAGGGUUGCGCUCGUUGCGGGACUUAACCCAACAUUUCACAACACGAGCUGACGACAGCCAUGCAGCACCUGUCUCACAGUUCCCGAAGGCACCAAUCCAUCUCUGGAAAGUUCUGUGGAUGUCAAGACCAGGUAAGGUUCUUCGCGUUGCAUCGAAUUAAACCACAUGCUUCACCGCUUGUGUGGCCCCCCGACAAAUCAUUUGAGUUUUAACCUUGGUGCUGUACUCACCACGCGGUCGAUUACUCGCGUGUAGGUCCGGAGUGAAUCGCCAAAUCGGGUGCCAGCCCCACCUAUCUACUUGGGCAACCUUCACGAAAAGAAAACAGCAGCUUGUUUAGAAUUGAGAAAGUUGCCCCAGCCUGCUGAGAAGGUUGUACCAAAGAAAAUGUUUUUUCACGUGAAGAUAGAUAUUCAUUCUACCAGAGUCAUCUCUUUACCUUAUCAACACUAUACGUUCUCUAUUAUAUAUACAAACAAACGAUAGGCAA
Molecule: ribosomal RNA, 890 nt
Filed under: Klebsiella pneumoniae
Lineage: Bacteria; Pseudomonadati; Pseudomonadota; Gammaproteobacteria; Enterobacterales; Enterobacteriaceae
Description: partial 16S ribosomal RNA
Source: RNAcentral